This 468-nucleotide ribosomal RNA is filed under the name uncultured bacterium. RNAcentral describes it as "partial 16S ribosomal RNA". It matches the Rfam family "Bacterial small subunit ribosomal RNA", at positions 28 to 507 of the family's 1533-position model. The record is from RNAcentral.
GAUGAACGCUGGCGGCGUGCUUAACACAUGCAAGUCGAACGGAAAGGCCCAAGCUUGCUUGGGUACUCGAGUGGCGAACGGGUGAGUAACACGUGGGUGAUCUGCCCUGCACUUCGGGAUAAGCCUGGGAAACUGGGUCUAAUACCGGAUAGGACGAUGGUUUGGAUGCCAUUGUGGAAAGUUUUUUCGGUGUGGGAUGAGCUCGCGGCCUAUCAGCUUGUUGGUGGGGUAAUGGCCUACCAAGGCGUCGACGGGUAGCCGGCCUGAGAGGGUGUACGGCCACAUUGGGACUGAGAUACGGCCCAGACUCCUACGGGAGGCAGCAGUGGGGAAUAUUGCACAAUGGGCGCAAGCCUGAUGCAGAGACGCCGCGUGGGGGAUGACGGCCUUCGGGUUGUAAACUCCUGUCGCUAGGGACGAAGCGUUUUUGUGACGGUACCUGGAGAAGAAGCACCGGCUAACUACGUG